Molecule: ribosomal RNA, 113 nt
Filed under: Acanthosepion pharaonis
Lineage: Eukaryota; Metazoa; Mollusca; Cephalopoda; Sepiida; Sepiidae
Source: RNAcentral
UUACGGCCACAUCAUGUUGAAACAAGAGUACCCGUACGAUCACCGAAGUUAAGCAACGUCGAGCCUGAUCGGUACCUAAAUGGGUGACUGCAUGGGAAUAUCAGGUGCUGUAA